RNAcentral lists this ribosomal RNA (492 nucleotides) under uncultured bacterium. RNAcentral's name for it is "partial 16S ribosomal RNA". It matches the Rfam family "Bacterial small subunit ribosomal RNA", at positions 29 to 507 of the family's 1533-position model. The record is from RNAcentral.
AGUGAACGCUGGCGGUAGGCCUAACACAUGCAAGUCGAACGGCAGCACAGUAAGAGCUUGCUCUUACGGGUGGCGAGUGGCGGACGGGUGAGGAAUACAUCGGAAUCUACUUUUUCGUGGGGGAUAACGUAGGGAAACUUACGCUAAUACCGCAUACGACCUACGGGUGAAAGCAGGGGAUCUUCGGACCUUGCGCGAUUGAAUGAGCCGAUGUCGGAUUAGCUAGUUGGCGGGGUAAAGGCCCACCAAGGCGACGAUCCGUAGCUGGUCUGAGAGGAUGAUCAGCCACACUGGAACUGAGACACGGUCCAGACUCCUACGGGAGGCAGCAGUGGGGAAUAUUGGACAAUGGGCGCAAGCCUGAUCCAGCCAUACCGCGUGGGUGAAGAAGGCCCUCGGGUUGUAAAGCCCUUUUGUUGGGAAAGAAAAGCAGCAGGUUAAUACCCCGCUGUUCUGACGGUACCAAAAGAAUAAGCACCGGCUAACUUCGUG